AUUCAAGCCUCCAGGCUCGAAUAAUAAGGACAUUUAGACAGCCUGCUUGACAGACUGGUUCCACAAGUCUGCUUGAAGAUGUUUCAUUUAAACACUCCAAUCAGUAUUUAAAAUGUCAACUGAUGCCUAUUAUUGCUGAAGCAGUGUGAAAAAGAAAACUGCAUUUACUGUAUCUCUCAGAUAGUUUACUUGAUCAGAUAAUGAGAAACAAAGGCUUGUCCUCUCUGAAAAAAUACUACAUUUUUCUGGAACACAUUCACUUGAGUGAGCAACUCAGCAACCAGACACAGAGAAACAAAAUUAUCUGUUUGUCUGCUUUUCUAGCUAACAUGAAAAAUAGAAAACAUCUUGAAGAAGGAAAGGAGAGGAUAUUUUAUCAAUUUAAUGUAGUAUAAUACCCUCUGUUAUUGUGAU
Long non-coding RNA from Cygnus olor (mute swan), 414 nucleotides. RefSeq lists it as uncharacterized. The record is from RefSeq and is a predicted model, not a curated record. NCBI's taxonomy places the organism in Eukaryota, Metazoa, Chordata, Aves, Anseriformes, Anatidae. The transcript is spliced from 4 exons.